RNAcentral lists this long non-coding RNA (991 nucleotides) under Rattus norvegicus (Norway rat). RNAcentral's name for it is "long non-coding RNA NONRATT017625". The record is from RNAcentral. Lineage: Eukaryota; Metazoa; Chordata; Mammalia; Rodentia; Muridae.
GGAAGUCCGGGCGUGCAGAGUGGAGCCUGGCGCAGACGCGGUUCACGCCCAGCGAACCCGCCCAUUCGACAGGAUACUAGCUAGCCCUGUUCUGACGCGAGGCAGGUGGCCAAUAUUUGAGACAAUGAAUGAAAUUCAAGGUUCUGGCUACGUUCAACGAGUUGGCUACGUUCUGUUGGCACUAGAUAGAGAUGCUUGCGAAACAGAAGGUAAGCCUAAGCAGUUCCCUGGUGGACACAAGCCGGUGGUCUCAGUUCUUCAGAAAAUACGAGGUUGGGUCGCUGCCGGAAGUUGCUCAGUCCAAGGCAACAACAGGGACGAAGUUUUCUCCCUGUUCCCUCGACUUUGCGCUGAAGGAGUCAAGUUAAAGAAGGAUUCAUUGGCAUUGCAUUCCCAGGAAGGAGAAGAAAAAGAAGUCUCUCGUCAGUUUACGUGAAGCCCCUGAGCCAUGAACGCGCUUCUGAAAAUGACCCCUCCCAGGAGCCGUGGGCGUGACGUCAUCGCGGCGCGACGUCAAAGCCUUAAGCACCAGCUCUGGGGCACAGAUUGCUGACCCUCACUCCUUCGCCCAGUGGUACUGUCAUCGCCUCUGACCCCCUUCUAUCGCGAUGGACAACCUUGGGGAGUCGCCCACGGACAAAGCCGGGGAGCCAGGGGAGUCAGAGGAGACGAGGGCUACUCCUGGGGCCCCGGUGUCCGCCGACACUGAGGGAAUCCCGGAGGAAACCGACCAGGUUGGAGACGCGGACUCGAAAGAAGCCGCAGCGGAGGAAAGCGAGCUCAAGAGUCAGGAUGUCUCAGACGUAACAGCAGCUGAGAGGGAAGACCCAUCUUUACUUACUCCUGCAGCCAAAAAGCUGAAAUUAGACACCAAGGACAAGAAGGAGAAGAAGCAGAAGGUGGACGAAGACGAGAUUCAGAAGAUGCAGUGAGUCACUAGCCGUCCCCAGCCCAGGCUCUAGCUCCACUCUGCACAUUCACUCUCACUCGC